UGCUUGUGUUUUGUGUUUUUGAGGACGAUAUGCUUUAAAAACGUGUUUAGUACGUCGUUUAUUUUUCUCUAGCUUGACUCUGUCUAUUUUUCCCAACUUAUUUUUGUUUUAUUGGAGCUUCUCAAAAUCUUUUUUUCUUCCAUUCCAAAUAAUUCAAUAGAGUUACUUACCAUCAUUCUAUCCUUACUAUGUUCUCUGGCAAUUUUACUCAAACCUUUUCUCAUGGGGGAUUGAUCGUGGAACAAAAUCUGAAUUUUUAAGAUUUUGUAGAAGUUCUUUUGAUGAGGUCCAAAUAUUUUAUCCUGGUCCACUUUGUUUUCUUCGGUUCAGCUUUUGGAAUAAGCCCGAGUGCUCCCUACUGUCUCGUCUCGCUGCCAGAUGGCCAUGUGCUGUCAGCUUCUUAAUUUCCUUCUCAUCUAAAAUCGUAUUGUAAUUAAUGUCAAGUUCGAGUUACAUCCGGCUGCGUGAUCGUUUCUGUUUUGAUCUAUACGUGAGAUUAGUCCUUGGCAUUGUCUAUAAAAGGUGUAGCCUGCAGUCAUAAUUGCAUCUAAAUCCCAGAAAGCUACGUAAGUCCAUGCCCUAGCCUCUGCCGCCGCAGUUGCCCAGCUAAGCGCCAUCAUCGCCGGCGAAGGUCAAUGGCUGGCCUCCACGUCCACAUUAGGGACAUGUUUGCCGUUGUCUUCUUUUGGCUGGCCGAGAGGGGGCUGCUACAGUCCAAUUAUUCGGACCGAGAUGAUUCUCGCGCUGGUUUCCCGCUCACGCGUCAGCCCGAGUUGACAUGGAGUCUGCGCCAGUGGAGGUUCCCACUCUUCCUGUGCUUGUCCCUUACUGCAUAUAGAAAACUCCAAAAUAGAUGACAUCAGCACAUGCAAGGUGUUUGUUAAAGUAAAAAAAGUCGUAGCUGCUAAACCAAAUGUUGAAAUUGAAAUCCGAUUACACCAUCGUAUUCCUUGUAAUAAACUCUUCAAAACAAGACCCCACAUGAAUAUAUUUAGAAAACAUUUUAUGUACGGACAUUUAUCUCGUGGUCCAGACAAAUCUCAUGAGAACAUCGUAAAAGAACAUAACUGAACAUUGCAUAUAUACUAUAUGAACAUCAUAAAAUACAUCAUAGAACAUCAUUGUAUACGGCAAGAACAUAAAUGUUCUAGGUUCAUAAAAUAAAUGUUCCGUCUUCGUAAGAAAAAUGUUCUCAGUUUAAAAAAUAGUGUUCUAGUUUAGAUUCAUGAAACUGAUAUUAUAAUAUUUAAAAUAAAUAAAUAAAUACAUCAUGUAAACAAAAAAAAUAAAAUCUAGAGCAAAGCAUAAGGAAAAAAAACACGUAAUAGAGAAAAAUUUAAAAGAACAUCAUAUGGAUAGUUUUAAAACAUCCUAAGAAUAAACUAUAAAACAUCACAUGUGUACUAAACUGAACAUCACUAAAUACACUAUAGAACACUAUUAAAUACAUUAUGGAACAUCGUAUAUAUAUUACGUGAACAUCACUAGAUAUAUCAUAGAACACCACAUGUGUACUAAGCGAACAUCACUAAAUUCACAAUAGAACAUCACUCAACACAUUAUAGAACAUUGUAUGUAUACUAAGUAAACAUCGCUGAAUUAACCAUAAAACAACACUUAAUGUAUUAUAGAACAUCACAUAUGAUGCAAAAAAAAAAGAUUCAUAACAAAGAAAGAUUAAGAAAUAAAACAUAAAUAAAAGAAAACAUAAUAAAAAUUAAAAGAAAAAACAAAAUAAAAAAAUAGAACAUCAGCAUGUGAACAUCAAAGAAAAUAAUAACAAUAAGAAAAAAGAUAAAAUAUAAAAAAAAGGAUAAUAUAAAACAAAAAAUGAAAAUAAAAAUAAAGCACAAAAAAGAUAGAAAAAGAAUCAAAUGGAAUAUAAAAUGAAAAAAGAAAGAAAAAAGGAAAAAAAUUAAAGAAAAGAAACAAAGAAAGAUUAAAAAAUAAAAUAUGAAUAAAAUAAAACAUAAUUAAAAAAAUAAAAGGAAAAACAAAAUCAAAAGAAAAAAUAAAAAAUAGAACGUCAGCACGUAAAUAUCAAAGAAAAAUAAUAAGAAUAAGAAAAAAAGAUAAAGAUAAAGAUACAAAACAAAGAAUAAUAUAAAAUAAAAAAGUAAAAUAAAAAUAAAGCACAAAAAAGCUAAAAAAGAACCAAACGGAAUAUAAAAUGAAAAAAGAGAAAGAAAAAAGAAAAGAAAUUAAAGAAAAAAAUAUAGCAAGAAAAAGAAAAAGAAAAAGAAAAAAGAAAGAAAAAAAUAGAAGAAAACUAACAGCAACGGCGGGAGGGAAAAAGAAAAGAAACAUAAAAAGAAAUAAAAGAAGACGAAAAGAAAAAAAAAAGAAAAAAGAAAAAAGAAAGAAAUAAAAAAGAAAGCGUACCUACCUCACGCGCGCGCGGCAAACCUCGCGUGGACGACGUCUCCGGACGUUCGGACUGGAAGAUUUCCGGGCCGAGAGCCCACCCCAUCGGCCAUCAUCGCGUGAUGCAUUGGCCACUGAUCUUGAUCCGUAGGACUGCCUCGUCUAUCUGUCGUAGGAGGACUCCGCUCGUGAAACCUGAUCUCACCACUCUGAGAUGGCAUUCGAGUCCUCCGUUUUCCCACAAACUCCGUCAAACUCUCCGGCGAGCUUUUCCGGUCAUGUUUCUCACCUUCGGUGAAUUUUGAUUCCAUCCCGGGGUUCGUUUCGUCAUUCUCUUCACCAGCACGUCUUUCGUUUUACGUCCGAUUUAAGUGGUUCAAGUUGCGUUAAAUUCGUAUCGAUGUGCUUUAUGCAAUAGUGCCAAUACUUUUCAUGUCACAUUCUUUUAUAUAAAUAGUUGAUUAUUAAAUUAAUUAAUAUGUGUAACUAAUUUUAUAAUUAAAAGCGACGUAGAGUUAUAGUUCCGUGUUUGUUGCUUUGCGAUCAAGGUGACUUAAGCGACAUAUUAGCAACAUUAUUUUCGAUGUCUAAUUGAAAGAUGUGUUGUUGCAAAAAUUGGUAUCUCACACCAACAAUCUCGGGGGCUCUGAGAGGAAGUCCAGGAGCUGAAGUCCUAGACCUCCUGAACCUUGAGAAUAAAUCUUUGACAUCUUUGUCAACCUUUGUCAAUUGUUGAUCCCUAAAUCAUAUGUCAUCAAAAGUCUCAAAACAAUCUUGGUGAUCUAGUUUAUCUUUCUUCCUAGUCCCUUCGAAUCUCGGGACGAGAUUCCUGUUAAGUGGGGUAGAUUGUCACACCCCAAAAUUUUUGAUUUUGGGUUAUGCAUAGAAAGCACUAAUUAAAAUAGAUGUUUUGAUACUUCGAU
This 3287-nucleotide long non-coding RNA is filed under the name Sorghum bicolor (sorghum). RNAcentral's name for it is "long non-coding RNA (SBIC_LNC002721)". Lineage: Eukaryota; Viridiplantae; Streptophyta; Magnoliopsida; Poales; Poaceae. The record is from RNAcentral.